This 402-nucleotide long non-coding RNA is filed under the name Prunus persica (peach). RNAcentral describes it as "long non-coding RNA (PPER_LNC005532)". Lineage: Eukaryota; Viridiplantae; Streptophyta; Magnoliopsida; Rosales; Rosaceae. The record is from RNAcentral.
UCGAUUAAGAUGAAUGGUGCCAAGUUUAAUAGGUCUAGUCUGCUAUUUGACAACCAGCUAAAGGUCUUAUGGACUCAUAGUCUGCUGUGGCACGAGAGAUGUUUGGUGUUCCCUCUUGGUUGGGCCAAUAACUCCUAAUAACUUAAAAGUUUUUCACAUGUGAUAUUCUUCUUCGAUUGGAUAUGAUAGAAAACAAUUAUCUCGUAAUAACUUAAAUGCAAAGUAUAAUUGCAAACAACCAGGCACAUCAAAAUUUCUUCUAUCAAUUGUUCACACCAAAAAAAGAAUAAUAUAUUCUACCAACAUGAUGUUAUCCAACUGUAGUAGUCAAAGAAAAUACUUGUGCUAAGCUAUUCAUCUCAUCAUCCACCAAAAUCAUAUCUUCCCAAAUUGUGAGCUCCA